GAUGAACGCUGGCGGCGUGCCUAAUACAUGCAAGUCGAGCGAACGGACGAGAAGCUUGCUUUUCUGAUGUUAGCGGCGGACGGGUGAAUAACACGUGGAUAACCUACCUAUAAGACUGGGAUAACUUCGGGAAACCGGAGCUAAUACCGGAUAAUAUUUUGAACCGCAUGGUUCAAAAGUGAAAGACGGUCUUGCUGUCACUUAUAGAUGGAUCCGCGCUGCAUUAGCUAGUUGGUAAGGUAACGGCUUACCAAGGCAACGAUGCAUAGCCGACCUGAGAGGGUGAUCGGCCACACUGGAACUGAGACACGGUCCAGACUCCUACGGGAGGCGGCAGUAGGGAAUCUUCCGCAAUGGGCGAAAGCCUGACGGAGCAACGCCGCGUGAGUGAUGAAGGUCUUCGGAUCGUAAAACUCUGUUAUUAGGGAAGAACAUAUGUGUAAGUAACUGUGCACAUCUUGACGGUACCUAAUCAGAAAGCCACGGCUAACUACGUG
RNAcentral lists this ribosomal RNA (497 nucleotides) under uncultured bacterium. RNAcentral's name for it is "partial 16S ribosomal RNA". It matches the Rfam family "Bacterial small subunit ribosomal RNA", at positions 28 to 507 of the family's 1533-position model. The record is from RNAcentral.